AAUAUAUAUAAGCCAAAUAAUUGAUUGCAUGACAUGAAGGCUUAUAUAAUUUCAAAUGAAAGGGGGAGCUUUAACUUCAGAAUUUACUGUUUCACACCUUUCAGUUUUGGAUAAAUUAAAUGACUAGACACUUGAAUUCAUUUUAAAACUUUACGAUAAAUCUCCUUUUUGGUUGAGCAAUUCACUUUACAAAUACUCAAUGUUUUGUCAUCAUCAAAAAGGGGGAGAUUGUGGAGUGAUUGAUUAUAACCCUAUUUGAUUUUGAUGAGCUCAAAGCAUUUGAGUAUAUCUUAUGUUAUACUAAUGAAUUCAAUCUAGUGUUUCAGUCAAAUAUUUGUAAAUUUAUGUUUAAG
Molecule: long non-coding RNA, 353 nt
Filed under: Phoenix dactylifera (date palm)
Lineage: Eukaryota; Viridiplantae; Streptophyta; Magnoliopsida; Arecales; Arecaceae
Description: long non-coding RNA (PDAC_LNC011809)
Source: RNAcentral